AAGAGAAGAAGCAUAAGCUUAAAUUUCUAGUUAGAAGCUAGACAGAUUUACAUCUACAUCCCC
RNAcentral lists this transfer RNA (63 nucleotides) under Actornithophilus hoplopteri. Its description in RNAcentral is "tRNA-Ser". The record is from RNAcentral. Lineage: Eukaryota; Metazoa; Arthropoda; Insecta; Psocodea; Menoponidae.